This 218-nucleotide unclassified non-coding RNA is filed under the name uncultured Thelephoraceae. Its description in RNAcentral is "sequence contains ITS2". Lineage: Eukaryota; Fungi; Basidiomycota; Agaricomycetes; Thelephorales; Thelephoraceae. The record is from RNAcentral.
ACACCUCAACUCUCAUGGUCUGCCAUGACGAGCUUGGACUUGGGGGUCUUGUUGGCCUAUGGUCAGCUCCUCUCAAACGAAUCAGCUUGCCAGUGUUUGGUGGCAUCACAGGUGUGAUAACUAUCUACGCUUGUGGAUUUCCAUCAGGUAACCUUCAGUGAUGGAGGUUCGCUGGGGCUUACAAACGUCUCUCCUCGGGGAGGACAGCUUUUUUGAAC